GAUGAACGCUGGCGGCGUGCCUAAUACAUGCAAGUCGAGCGAACAGACGAGGAGCUUGCUCCUCUGACGUUAGCGGCGGACGGGUGAGUAACACGUGGAUAACCUACCUAUAAGACUGGGAUAACUUCGGGAAACCGGAGCUAAUACCGGAUAAUAUAUUGAACCGCAUGGUUCAAUAGUGAAAGACGGUUUUGGUGUCACUUAUAGAUGGAUCCGCGCCGCAUUAGCUAGUUGGUAAGGUAACGGCUUACCAAGGCGACGAUGCGUAGCCGACCUGAGAGGGUGAUCGGCCACACUGGAACUGAGACACGGUCCAGACUCCUACGGGAGGCAGCAGUAGGGAAUCUUCCGCAAUGGGCGAAAGCCUGACGGAGCAACGCCGCGUGAGUGAUGAAGGUCUUCGGAUCGUAAAACUCUGUUAUUAGGGAAGAACAAAUGUGUAAGUAACUAUGCACGUCUUGACGGUACCUAAUCAGAAAGCCACGGCUAACUACGUG
RNAcentral lists this ribosomal RNA (497 nucleotides) under uncultured bacterium. RNAcentral describes it as "partial 16S ribosomal RNA". It matches the Rfam family "Bacterial small subunit ribosomal RNA", at positions 28 to 507 of the family's 1533-position model. The record is from RNAcentral.